RNAcentral lists this ribosomal RNA (960 nucleotides) under uncultured Bdellovibrio sp. RNAcentral describes it as "bacterial SSU rRNA". It matches the Rfam family "Bacterial small subunit ribosomal RNA", at positions 33 to 1018 of the family's 1533-position model. The record is from RNAcentral. Lineage: Bacteria; Pseudomonadati; Bdellovibrionota; Bdellovibrionia; Bdellovibrionales; Pseudobdellovibrionaceae.
UUGCUGGCGGCGUGCCUAAUACAUGCAAGUCGAACGAGUAGCAAUACUAGUGGCGCACGGGUGAGGAAUACAUAGAUAAUCUGCCUUCGAGUCGGGGAUAACCAGUCGAAAGAUUGGCUAAUACCGGAUAAGACCACAAGAUCUGCGGAUCUAGGGGUUAAAGGUUUUUCGCUUGAAGAUGAGUCUAUGCGAGAUUAGCUAGUUGGUGAGGUAAUGGCUCACCAAGGCGACGAUCUCUAACUGGUCUUAGAGGAUGAUCAGUCACACUGGAACUGAGACACGGUCCAGACUCCUACGGGAGGCAGCAGUAGGGAAUAUUGCGCAAUGGGGGAAACCCUGACGCAGCGACGCCGCGUGAGUGAUGAAGGCCUUCGGGUCGUAAAGCUCUGUCGUAUGGGAAUAACACAAUGAAUGUACCAUGCAAGAAAGGAUCGGCUAACAACGUGCCAGCAGCCGCGGUAAGACGAGGGAUCCUAGCGUUGUUCGGAAUCAUUGGGCGUAAAGCGGGUGUAGGCGGGCUUCUAAGUCAGAUGUGAAAUGCCAGGGCUCAACCCUGGAAGUGCAUUUGAUACUGGAAGUCUUGAGUGUGGUAGAGGUUACUGGAAUUGUUGGUGUAGUGGUGAAAUACGUAGAUAUCAACAGGAAUACCGGAGGCGAAGGCGAGUAACUGGGCCAACACUGACGCUGAGACCCGAAAGCGUGGGGAUCAAACAGGAUUAGAUACCCUGGUAGUCCACGCCAUAAACGAUGGAUACUUGUUGUUAGAGGUAUUGACCCCUCUAGUGACGUAGCUAACGCGUUAAGUAUCCCGCCUGGGGAGUACGGUCGCAAGAUUAAAACUCAAAGAAAUUGACGGGGGCCCGCACAAGCGGUGGAGCAUGUGGUUUAAUUCGAUGCAACGCGAAGAACCCUACCUAGGCUUGACAUGGACUGGAAGACUGGCAGAAAUGCCGUCACCCG